AAUAUUGUAAGUGCCUGGUCCUGAGGUCCACGACAAAACGACUGAGAUCAAUGGGCUCACAAUUCAGCAGCUUCUGUUUGAAGAUGUGGGAGUGUGCCAAACCAUCCAUGGCUGACAGAAUAUGGGAGGACCAAUAAUCAUCGGACCUUGAGCUCAGCCGCAUGUCAGCCUGCAAAAUCUUUUUCAUUAUCGAGCUGUUGCAUCGGGUCAGAGAGUUAUAAAGACGCA
Molecule: long non-coding RNA, 228 nt
Filed under: Dunaliella salina
Lineage: Eukaryota; Viridiplantae; Chlorophyta; Chlorophyceae; Chlamydomonadales; Dunaliellaceae
Description: long non-coding RNA (DSAL_LNC000263)
Source: RNAcentral